CUCCUACGGGAGGCAGCAGUGAGGAAUAUUGGUCAAUGGGCGCAAGCCUGAACCACCCAUCCCGCGUGAAGGAAGACGGCCCUACGGGUUGUAAACUUCUUUUGUGCACCAAGAAUAGCUUCUACGCGUAGAAGUAUGACAGUGGUGCAUGAAUAAGCAUCGGCUAACUCCGUGCCAGCAGCCGCGGUAAUACGGAGGAUGCGAGCGUUAUCCGGAUUUAUUGGGUUUAAAGGGUACGUAGGUGGCCUGUUAAGUCAGUGGUGAAAACCUGCCGCUCAACGGUAGGCGUGCCAUUGAAACUGACAGGCUUGAGUACAGAUGAGGUAAGCGGAAUGUGUAGUGUAGCGGUGAAAUGCAUAGAUAUUACACAGAACUCCGAUUGCGAAGGCAGCUUACUAAACUGAUACUGACACUGAGGUACGAAAGCGUGGGUAGCGAACAGGAUUAGAUACCCGGGUAGUCCACGCCGUAAACGAUGCUCACUCGCUGUUUGCGAUAUACAGUAAGCGGCCAAGCGAAAGCGCUAAGUGAGCCACCUGGGGAGUACGCCGGCAACGGUGAAACUCAAAGGAAUUGACGGGGGCCCGCACAAGCGGAGGAACAUGUGGUUUAAUUCGAUGAUACGCGAGGAACCUUACCUGGGCUUAAAUGGGGACUGACAGAUCUGGAAACAGGUUUUUCUUCGGACAGUCUUCAAGGUGCUGCAUGGUUGUCGUCAGCUCGUGCCGUGAGGUGUCGGGUUAAGUCCCAUAACGAGCGCAACCCCUACCGUUAGUUACCAUCAGGUAAAGCUGGGGACUCUAACGGGACUGCCACCGUAAGGUGCGAGGAAGGUGGGGAUGACGUCAAAUCAGCACGGCCCUUAUGUCCAGGGCUACACACGUGUUACAAUGGCCGGUACAGCGGGCAGCUACUAUGCAAAUAGAUGCGAAUCCCGAAAGCCGGUCUCAGUUCGGAUCGAAGUCUGCAACCCGGCUUCGUGAAGCUGGAUUCGCUAGUAAUCGCGCAUCAGCCAUGGCGCGGUGAAUACGUUCCCGGGCCUUGCACACACCGCCCGU
RNAcentral lists this ribosomal RNA (1058 nucleotides) under uncultured Bacteroidota bacterium. Its description in RNAcentral is "bacterial SSU rRNA". It matches the Rfam family "Bacterial small subunit ribosomal RNA", at positions 336 to 1397 of the family's 1533-position model. The record is from RNAcentral. Lineage: Bacteria; Pseudomonadati; Bacteroidota.